RNAcentral lists this unclassified non-coding RNA (522 nucleotides) under Hevea brasiliensis (rubber tree). Lineage: Eukaryota; Viridiplantae; Streptophyta; Magnoliopsida; Malpighiales; Euphorbiaceae. The record is from RNAcentral.
CUUGUUGUGCAUUCUCCUGUGGAUGAUCCCACUAUUUCACCACUGACAGUCCAAUCAGCUCCUUUGUUGCUACAUGUUCCUGCCACCCCCUCUCUAAUUACGCGCGUCCAGAGUGCGAUUCCAAAAAGAAGUUUUUUUGCUGAAUUGGGAAUUCCGUUAUUUUGAGGUUUCUGAUUUGUGAAUCAGCGUCUCUCUUACACCCAUUCUCGGUAACAUGGCUUCCAAGGACGAUUACGCGGCUUAUGAAUCACUGUCGAAGAUUAAGGAUGGCUUACAUGGCCAAGGGCCGGGUAGUGAACCAAAGGUUGCGGGCAGCUCCGUUGGUGAACAGCUUGAAGAUGAGGACAACAAAAAAGAAAUUAAUUGCAACAUGGACGAUGAGUAUCACUUAUUGGAAGAUAUUGACCCCUUGGCGUGGCAUUAUGAUUCCGAAAAUGAGGACCAUGUGAAAUUGUUAGAAGAUUUCAUAUGCCAGUACAAAGAAAGCGAUGGUUUUGAUUUCAUCCCUUUACCCGGGCGGCC